GUGGCAGAUAGAAUAAUGUCCCCAAAGAUGUCCACACCCUGAUCCUCAUGUGGGGGGACAGAAUAAUAUCCCCUAAGACGUUCUCUUCCUGAUUC
Molecule: non-coding RNA, 95 nt
Organism: Vicugna pacos (alpaca)
Lineage: Eukaryota; Metazoa; Chordata; Mammalia; Artiodactyla; Camelidae
Source: RefSeq, a predicted model, not a curated record